RNAcentral lists this ribosomal RNA (2901 nucleotides) under Escherichia coli. RNAcentral describes it as "bacterial LSU rRNA". It matches the Rfam family "Bacterial large subunit ribosomal RNA". Lineage: Bacteria; Pseudomonadati; Pseudomonadota; Gammaproteobacteria; Enterobacterales; Enterobacteriaceae. The record is from RNAcentral.
UUAAGCGACUAAGCGUACACGGUGGAUGCCCUGGCAGUCAGAGGCGAUGAAGGACGUGCUAAUCUGCGAUAAGCGUCCGGUAAGGUGAUAUGAACCGUUAUAACCGGCGAUUUCCGAAUGGGGAAACCCAGUGUGUUUCGACACACUAUCAUUAACUGAAUCCAUAGGUUAAUGAGGCGAACCGGGGGAACUGAAACAUCUAAGUACCCCGAGGAAAAGAAAUCAACCGAGAUUCCCCCAGUAGCGGCGAGCGAACGGGGAGGAGCCCAGAGUCUGAAUCAGUGUGUGUGUUAGUGGAAGCGUCUGGAAAGGCGCGCGAUACAGGGUGACAGCCCCGUACACAAAAAUGCACAUACUGUGAGCUCGAUGAGUAGGGCGGGACACGUGGUAUCCUGUCUGAAUAUGGGGGGACCAUCCUCCAAGGCUAAAUACUCCUGACUGACCGAUAGUGAACCAGUACCGUGAGGGAAAGGCGAAAAGAACCCCGGCGAGGGGAGUGAAAAAGAACCUGAAACCGUGUACGUACAAGCAGUGGGAGCACGCUUAGGCGUGUGACUGCGUACCUUUUGUAUAAUGGGUCAGCGACUUAUAUUCUGUAGCAAGGUUAACCGAAUAGGGGAGCCGAAGGGAAACCGAGUCUUAACUGGGCGUUAAGUUGCAGGGUAUAGACCCGAAACCCGGUGAUCUAGCCAUGGGCAGGUUGAAGGUUGGGUAACACUAACUGGAGGACCGAACCGACUAAUGUUGAAAAAUUAGCGGAUGACUUGUGGCUGGGGGUGAAAGGCCAAUCAAACCGGGAGAUAGCUGGUUCUCCCCGAAAGCUAUUUAGGUAGCGCCUCGUGAAUUCAUCUCCGGGGUAGAGCACUGUUUCGGCAAGGGGGUCAUCCCGACUUACCAACCCGAUGCAAACUGCGAAUACCGGAGAAUGUUAUCACGGGAGACACACGGCGGGUGCUAACGUCCGUCGUGAAGAGGGAAACAACCCAGACCGCCAGCUAAGGUCCCAAAGUCAUGGUUAAGUGGGAAACGAUGUGGGAAGGCCCAGACAGCCAGGAUGUUGGCUUAGAAGCAGCCAUCAUUUAAAGAAAGCGUAAUAGCUCACUGGUCGAGUCGGCCUGCGCGGAAGAUGUAACGGGGCUAAACCAUGCACCGAAGCUGCGGCAGCGACGCUUAUGCGUUGUUGGGUAGGGGAGCGUUCUGUAAGCCUGUGAAGGUGUGCUGUGAGGCAUGCUGGAGGUAUCAGAAGUGCGAAUGCUGACAUAAGUAACGAUAAAGCGGGUGAAAAGCCCGCUCGCCGGAAGACCAAGGGUUCCUGUCCAACGUUAAUCGGGGCAGGGUGAGUCGACCCCUAAGGCGAGGCCGAAAGGCGUAGUCGAUGGGAAACAGGUUAAUAUUCCUGUACUUGGUGUUACUGCGAAGGGGGGACGGAGAAGGCUAUGUUGGCCGGGCGACGGUUGUCCCGGUUUAAGCGUGUAGGCUGGUUUUCCAGGCAAAUCCGGAAAAUCAAGGCUGAGGCGUGAUGACGAGGCACUACGGUGCUGAAGCAACAAAUGCCCUGCUUCCAGGAAAAGCCUCUAAGCAUCAGGUAACAUCAAAUCGUACCCCAAACCGACACAGGUGGUCAGGUAGAGAAUACCAAGGCGCUUGAGAGAACUCGGGUGAAGGAACUAGGCAAAAUGGUGCCGUAACUUCGGGAGAAGGCACGCUGAUAUGUAGGUGAAGUCCCUUGCGGAUGGAGCUGAAAUCAGUCGAAGAUACCAGCUGGCUGCAACUGUUUAUUAAAAACACAGCACUGUGCAAACACGAAAGUGGACGUAUACGGUGUGACGCCUGCCCGGUGCCGGAAGGUUAAUUGAUGGGGUCAGCGCAAGCGAAGCUCUUGAUCGAAGCCCCGGUAAACGGCGGCCGUAACUAUAACGGUCCUAAGGUAGCGAAAUUCCUUGUCGGGUAAGUUCCGACCUGCACGAAUGGCGUAAUGAUGGCCAGGCUGUCUCCACCCGAGACUCAGUGAAAUUGAACUCGCUGUGAAGAUGCAGUGUACCCGCGGCAAGACGGAAAGACCCCGUGAACCUUUACUAUAGCUUGACACUGAACAUUGAGCCUUGAUGUGUAGGAUAGGUGGGAGGCUUUGAAGUGUGGACGCCAGUCUGCAUGGAGCCGACCUUGAAAUACACCCUUUAAUGUUUGAUGUUCUAACGUGGACCCGUGAUCCGGGUUGCGGACAGUGUCUGGUGGGUAGUUUGACUGGGGCGGUCUCCUCCUAAAGAGUAACGGAGGAGCACGAAGGUUGGCUAAUCCUGGUCGGACAUCAGGAGGUUAGUGCAAUGGCAUAAGCCAGCUUGACUGCGAGCGUGACGGCGCGAGCAGGUGCGAAAGCAGGUCAUAGUGAUCCGGUGGUUCUGAAUGGAAGGGCCAUCGCUCAACGGAUAAAAGGUACUCCGGGGAUAACAGGCUGAUACCGCCCAAGAGUUCAUAUCGACGGCGGUGUUUGGCACCUCGAUGUCGGCUCAUCACAUCCUGGGGCUGAAGUAGGUCCCAAGGGUAUGGCUGUUCGCCAUUUAAAGUGGUACGCGAGCUGGGUUUAGAACGUCGUGAGACAGUUCGGUCCCUAUCUGCCGUGGGCGCUGGAGAACUGAGGGGGGCUGCUCCUAGUACGAGAGGACCGGAGUGGACGCAUCACUGGUGUUCGGGUUGUCAUGCCAAUGGCACUGCCCGGUAGCUAAAUGCGGAAGAGAUAAGUGCUGAAAGCAUCUAAGCACGAAACUUGCCCCGAGAUGAGUUCUCCCUGACUCCUUGAGAGUCCUGAAGGAACGUUGAAGACGACGACGUUGAUAGGCCGGGUGUGUAAGCGCAGCGAUGCGUUGAGCUAACCGGUACUAAUGAACCGUGAGGCUUAACCUU